This 460-nucleotide ribosomal RNA is filed under the name uncultured bacterium. RNAcentral describes it as "partial 16S ribosomal RNA". It matches the Rfam family "Bacterial small subunit ribosomal RNA", at positions 338 to 795 of the family's 1533-position model. The record is from RNAcentral.
CCUACGGGAGGCAGCAGUGAGGAAUAUUGGUCAAUGGGCGGAAGCCUGAACCAGCCAAGUAGCGUGCAGGAUGACGGCCCUACGGGUUGUAAACUGCUUUUAUACGGGAAUAACGCGCCUUACGUGUAGGGCUUUGCAUGUACCGCAUGACUAAGGACCGGCUAAUUCCGUGCCAGCAGCCGCGGUAAUACGGCAGGUCCGGGCGUUAUCCGGAUUUUUUGGGUUUAAAGGGAGCGUAGGCCGCAUGUCAAGCGUGCUGUGAAAUGUUCGGGCUCAACCCGGGCCGUGCAGCGCGAACUGGCGUGCUUGAGUCCGCGGAAAGCAGGCGGAAGUCGUCGUGUAGCGGUGAAAUGCUUAGAUAUGACGAAGAACCCCGAUUGCGAAGGCAGCUUGCUGCAGCGGAACUGACGCUGAUGCUCGAAGGCGCGGGUAUCGAACAGGAUUAGAUACCCCAGUAGUC